CAGCAGCCGCGGUAAUACGAAGGGUGCAAGCGUUACUCGGAAUUACUGGGCGUAAAGCGUGCGUAGGUGGUGGUUUAAGUCCGUUGUUAAAGCCCUGGGCUCAACCUGGGAAUUGCAGUGGAUACUGGGUCACUAGAGUGUGGUAGAGGAUAGUGGAAUUUCCGGUGUAGCAGUGAAAUGCGUAGAGAUCGGAAGGAACAUCUGUGGCGAAGGCGACUAUCUGGGCCAACACUGACACUGAGGCACGAAAGCGUGGGGAGCAAACAGGAUUAGAUACCCCCGUAGUCCCUGUCUCUUAUAC
RNAcentral lists this ribosomal RNA (301 nucleotides) under uncultured bacterium. RNAcentral's name for it is "partial 16S ribosomal RNA". It matches the Rfam family "Bacterial small subunit ribosomal RNA", at positions 509 to 807 of the family's 1533-position model. The record is from RNAcentral.